This 140-nucleotide unclassified non-coding RNA is filed under the name fungal sp. RNAcentral's name for it is "partial internal transcribed spacer region". Lineage: Eukaryota; Fungi. The record is from RNAcentral.
UAUCUCGCGCUGGUGAAGGGCGCAUGGCGUAACGCGAGGCAGGAGGUAAAGCUGCCGCUCCACAAGUACAACCUGGGGAGCGGCGAGCGGCGAGUGAAAGUGAGCGACGAAGGCGUCGCCUCGCACACCAUAUUCCGCCG